RNAcentral lists this ribosomal RNA (497 nucleotides) under uncultured bacterium. RNAcentral describes it as "partial 16S ribosomal RNA". It matches the Rfam family "Bacterial small subunit ribosomal RNA", at positions 28 to 507 of the family's 1533-position model. The record is from RNAcentral.
GAUGAACGCUGGCGGCGUGCCUAAUACAUGCAAGUCGAGCGAACAGACGCGGCGCUUGCUCCUCUGACGUUAGCGGCGGACGGGUGAGUCACACGUGGAUCACCUCCCUAUCUGACUGGUAUAUCUUCGGGAAACCGGCGCUAAUCCCGUAUAACCUGUUGAACCGCAUGGUUCAACAGUGAAAUACGGUCUUUCUGUCACUUCUCGCUGGAUCUGCGCCGCAUUAGCUAGUUGGUAAGGUAACGGGUUACUACGGCAACGAUGCGUAGCCGACGUGAGAGGGUGAUAGGCCACAUUGGAGCGGGGACGCGGACCAGGCGACUAAGAGAGGGAGCAGUAGGGAAUCGGCGGCAAUGGGCGGAAGCCUGACGGAGCAACGGGGAGUGAGUGAAGGAGGUCUUCGGAGCGUAAAACUGGGUUAUGAGGGAAGAACAGAUGUGGAAGGAAAUGUGCACGGAGUGACGGUACCGGGUAAGAAAGCAACGGCUAACUACGUG